CCUACGGGACGCACCAGUGGGGAAUAUUGCACAAUGGGCGCAAGCCUGAUGCAGCCAUGCCGCGUGUAUGAAGAAGGCCUUCGGGUUGUAAAGUACUUUCAGCGGGGAGGAAGGCGAUAAGGUUAAUAACCUUGUCGAUUGACAUUACCCGCAGAAGAAGCACCGGCUAACUCCGUGCCAGCAGCCGCGGUAAUACGGAGGGUGCAAGCGUUAAUCGGAAUUACUGGGCGUAAAGCGCACGCAGGCGGUCUGUCAAGUCGGAUGUGAAAGCCCCGGGCUCAACCUGGGAACUGCAUUCGAAACUGGCAGGCUAGAGUCUUGUAGAGGGGGGUAGAAUUCCAGGUGUAGCGGUGAAAUGCGUAGAGAUCUGGAGGAAUACCGGUGGCGGAGGCGGCCCCCUGGACAAAGACUGACGCUCAGGUGCGAAAGCGUGGGGAGCAAACAGGAUUAGAUACCCCCGUAGUC
Molecule: ribosomal RNA, 465 nt
Filed under: uncultured bacterium
Lineage: Bacteria
Description: bacterial SSU rRNA
Rfam family: Bacterial small subunit ribosomal RNA
Source: RNAcentral